GGAGGGGUGCCCGAGUGGCUAAAGGGGGCAGACUGUAAAUCUGCUGGCGAACGCCUACAUUGGUUCGAAUCCAAUCCCCUCCA
Molecule: transfer RNA, 83 nt
Filed under: bacterium ADurb.Bin236
Lineage: Bacteria
Also listed under: 1 other name
Description: tRNA-Tyr
Rfam family: tRNA
About the family: Transfer RNA (tRNA) molecules are approximately 80 nucleotides in length. Their secondary structure includes four short double-helical elements and three loops (D, anti-codon, and T loops). Further hydrogen bonds mediate the characteristic L-shaped molecular structure. tRNAs have two regions of fundamental functional importance: the anti-codon, which is responsible for specific mRNA codon recognition, and the 3' end, to which the tRNAs corresponding amino acid is attached (by aminoacyl-tRNA synthetases). tRNAs cope with the degeneracy of the genetic code in two manners: having more than one tRNA (with a specific anti-codon) for a particular amino acid; and 'wobble' base-pairing, i.e. permitting non-standard base-pairing at the 3rd anti-codon position.
Source: RNAcentral